This 225-nucleotide ribosomal RNA is filed under the name uncultured bacterium. Its description in RNAcentral is "partial 16S ribosomal RNA". It matches the Rfam family "Bacterial small subunit ribosomal RNA", at positions 116 to 334 of the family's 1533-position model. The record is from RNAcentral.
CGUGGGUAACCUACCCAUCAGAGGGGGAUAACACUUGGAAACAGGUGCUAAUACCGCAUAACAGUUUAUGCCGCAUGGCAUAAGAGUGAAAGGCGCUUUCGGGUGUCGCUGAUGGAUGGACCCGCGGUACAUUAGCUAGUUGGUGAGGUAACGGCUCACCAAGGCCACGAUGCAUAGCCGACCUGAGAGGGUGAUCGGCCACACUGGGACUGAGACACGGCCCAG